This 86-nucleotide transfer RNA is filed under the name Syntrophomonadaceae bacterium. RNAcentral's name for it is "tRNA-Leu". It matches the Rfam family "tRNA". From Rfam's summary of the family: Transfer RNA (tRNA) molecules are approximately 80 nucleotides in length. Lineage: Bacteria; Bacillati; Bacillota; Clostridia; Eubacteriales; Syntrophomonadaceae. The record is from RNAcentral.
GCCGAAGUGGCGGAAUUGGCAGACGCGGCGGUCUCAAAAACCGUUGGGCUUUGCUCAUGCCGGUUCGACUCCGGCCUUCGGCACCA